UGAUUCACAUGCAGGAUGAGGGAGGGUGGAUGGUGGAGAGGGUCAUUUCUUUCAACCACAGUGCAUAACACUUAGUGAUUGGAUGUGUUUCUCAGAAAAGAACAUGUAGUGAGAUAGGGCAGAGGCAUCCAUGGCUGGUGUCUGGAACUCUGUGGCUUUAAACCAAACUCCUCCAUCAUCCUUUUAUCUCUGGCUUUUUUGAAAGAGUUUACAUGUAUAAGAAAGUCACAGCACCAAAAACCUGUCGUGAUGUUGCAAUAUUUCAGAAGCUUUAAUGAAGCACUGUGUGGUGGAAGGGGUUCCUCAGCGGAUCCAGCUUGAGACAUAGCUCAUGCUAUAGGCUGAGUUGUGUCAUUAACAGUCCACCUCACAUUUGUCCCCCCAUGGUGGAGCAUCCUAUCAACAGACCAUAUUGCACAAAUUGUGCUUUACAAAAACCAAUGAGUCUGUUGCCACUGCAGCAAGGAAAAUAAUAGAUGCUGUUUCCUGUCUUAUUUAAGAAAAUAAGGAAAAUGUCUGUCUCUUCUUACCAUUGCUGUUCUUUUCUUUCUUUAACACAAAGACCUAUAACUAGCCUAGAUUUCCAUCCCAUUCUAUUGCUUGAUUAACCAUGAACCCCAUCAUAUCAGGAUCUAUUUAAGAUUGGAGAACAUAAUUUUCUGCUCAUGCCAUACCCUCUGUUUCUUGGCAAAGAAUAGUCGAGGGUAGGUGACCGCACUUUAUGCCAGCAUCCUCAUCAUUGACUGUGUAAUUGUCUUCUCCUGGGGUGCUGCUUCUGCCCGCUGGACCUCUACUUUCAUUCCUUGUGGUUGUGCAGCCACUAACCUCACAUCAUGAGUCAGGCAACACAGGUUAGGAUCAGAAAAGAGAUAGUCUGGGGUUUGUGUGCUGCCAGCCAGGCUUAGGCUUCACCCUUGGAACGAUAACCACCAUCUGCUCUAAUCAUGUAGACUUACUGCAGCUUGGUUUCUCUGUUACAAUAAAAUUACUGUAGAUCCAACCACUGUCUACCUUUUUCUUUAAUGGGAGGAAGGGGUAGAUGUCAGUUUGUAUUCUAGAAGUUUAGUCACAUCCAGCUGAACGGUAAGCCAGAGAUGUGUUAGUGGUCCCAAAUGAUGGCUCAGAGUACAUCCUUUUCUUCAUCAUGCCAUUGAGGUAAGUCAGCCCAAAGAUGUCGAGAAUGUGGGUAUAAUUCCUUGGACCUUGUAAGACAGGUGGAGACACACAGUGGAUCCUAUAGAGACAGGCAAGGGAUGGAGGGGAGACGGCAGCUUCAGAUGUCUUGGGGGCCAAGGAGAUUAUUAUAAAUAAAAAUCAGAAGCUGGGUGGAAGAUGAUGGUUGGUAAUCAGCCCUCAUCCACAGAGGGAGAUGACAGCCAUGAAAAUGAAAGCACUCAGUAGUAGGUCCUAAAUUUUAAAGGAAAAAAUGGAAAAAGAAUUUUUUUUGGAAGGUCUAUUGGUGCUUGAAAAUUGGCAAUGAAAAAAAAA
Molecule: non-coding RNA, 1488 nt
Organism: Ictidomys tridecemlineatus (thirteen-lined ground squirrel)
Lineage: Eukaryota; Metazoa; Chordata; Mammalia; Rodentia; Sciuridae
Source: RefSeq, a predicted model, not a curated record